UCGGCCAUCAUGACCAAAUCGUUAGCUCCGUCCCCAACAGCCAUCGUUUCGAGCUUAUUUAAACCCAACUCUUCCCUCUUUUCACGCAAAAUGGAAGCUUUUCGUUGUCCAUCUACAAUUGCACCUUGAACUUUUCCAGUGAGGAAUUUACCAUCAUCGGAAAAUUCAAGUACAUUGGCAUAUGCAUAGUCCAAGUCCAGUUGUCCCUUGACAUAUUCAGCCAUUGGAACAAAUCCACCACUAGCGACAACAAGAGUCGCACCCAUUUGCUUAAGGCAAUGACAAAGCUGUUUAGCUCCUGGAGUGAAAGUAAUUUUGCCAAUGACUUUAUUUAUGACAUCGACGCUCAACCCUUGUAGUAGAGAAACGCGACGACGAAGUGAUUCUUGAAAGUCAAUUUCCCCAUUCAUUGCAAGAGAUGUAAUCGUAGCAACCUCUUUCUGGAUGCCUGCUUCUGCCGCGAGCUCGUCAAUACACUCUUGUUGAAUCAACGUCGAGUCCAUGUCAAAUACUACAAGCUUCUUUUUAGUGGAAAAUGUUGCUUCACUCAAGCAAUUACAGUCUACAUUCUCAGUAGCAGAAAUGCGGUUACAAGCGUCUUUAGCAUCUUCAAACGUUCCUUUAAGUUGGCCUGAUACUAAAGUCCACUGUUCCCCCAGAGAACGAGUCUUCCCAUCUCUAAACAAGGAGGAAAUCUGUUCAAGCACAUUUGGACGAUUUGAGGAAACAACUAUGGCUGCGUUGACCAUGCUUAUUAAAAGGUAUGAGUGGGUUUGCUAAAUUUUCUAAGUUGAAAAGCGUUGUUUUCGGCAAGUCCCAUUUACUAAUUACUCGGCUAUUGAUUAAGCUUAACGUUAAACGACAACAAGUACUAGGUCAAUUUAAGUUAUUUGAAAAUCUCAAACAAGCUUAUUUUUUGUUAUUGUUUACAAAUUUAUCAUUAUCUUCAAAAUGCUGUAUAAAUUGUGAAGUUGGUAAAGUGGUGCCUAAACUCCGUUUUCAAACACAGGUUAAUAAGCAAAUAUUUUUUUUAUACAUUAAAGCAAUAAAGCAAGAAAUCAUAACUAAGAAGAUGUUUGGAAAUAUUGCA
This is a non-coding RNA of Schizosaccharomyces pombe (fission yeast), 1090 nucleotides long. The record is from the annotation of a GenBank genome assembly. Lineage: Eukaryota; Fungi; Ascomycota; Schizosaccharomycetes; Schizosaccharomycetales; Schizosaccharomycetaceae.